RNAcentral lists this ribosomal RNA (499 nucleotides) under uncultured Glomeromycotina. RNAcentral's name for it is "partial small subunit ribosomal RNA". It matches the Rfam family "Eukaryotic small subunit ribosomal RNA", at positions 591 to 1092 of the family's 1831-position model. The record is from RNAcentral. Lineage: Eukaryota; Fungi; Glomeromycota.
CCAAUAGCGUAUAUUAAAGUUGUUGCAGUUAAAAAGCUCGUAGUUGAAUUUCGGGACCAAUAUGUCGGUCGUGCUUCGGUACGUACUUGCAUUAUUGGUUUCUCCCUUCUGAGGAACCAUGAUGUCAUUAAUUUGGUGUCGUGGGAAAUCAGGACUGUUACUUUGAAAAAAUUAGAGUGUUUAAAGCAGGCUCGCGCUUGAAAACAUUCGCAUGGAAUAAUGAAAUAGGCAGUUUGAUUCUAUUUUGUUGGUUUCUAGGAUCGACGUAAUGAUUAAUAGGGAUAGUUGGGGGCAUUAGUAUUCAAUUGUCAGAGGUGAAAUUCUCGGAUUUAUUGAAGACUAACUACUGCGAAAGCAUUUGCCAAGGAUGUUUUCAUUAAUCAAGAACGAAAGUUAGGGGAUCGAAGACGAUCAGAUACCGUCGUAGUCUUAACCAUAAACUAUGCCGACUAGGGAUCGGAUGAUGUUAAUUUUUUAAUGACUCAUUCGGCGCCUUACG